Long non-coding RNA from Panicum virgatum (switchgrass), 587 nucleotides. RefSeq lists it as uncharacterized. Lineage: Eukaryota; Viridiplantae; Streptophyta; Magnoliopsida; Poales; Poaceae. The record is from RefSeq and is a predicted model, not a curated record. The transcript has 3 exons.
UUUAACGUGCAGUUUAUCAAGGGCUAGACAUCCUUUCUCGAUAAUGUGGGUCACUAGAUUACAACCAUGGGUGGCUGCGUGGGAUGAUGCAGGCGAGCAGUUGGCUGAGGAUACCGGUCCACACACUGAGCCUUCGUUUCGGGCGUACCUGUCCUGGUACGAACCGAAGACUCGUUGUCGUUUGACGUAUGUUGACAUGCAUCCACAGCCGCAUGUUGCGACUUCGCAGGAUCGCUAUGCACGACACAGGGAUGAGGCAUUAGCUGGGGCGUUCGAGGCCUGUAGGUUGCUUGAAUUAGAUUGCUCACUGAAUGUAAUGAUGAUUCAUGGCGGGUCUACGAUGAGCAUGCCGGCACAACUCGAGGCCUGGACCACUCAACGUGAUAGAGCCCGAGGCAUCCUUCAGGCCUUUGGUACGCGGACGGAGUACGAGGAUUCCUACGGAUCGUCGCAAGCGUCGACGUCGGUUCCUUGUGGUCCCGCAUGGCAGCAGCCUCCCUUAUACCACCGACAGUACAAAGGGUACGGGUACCCCGGUUCUCAGCCCUAUGGAGGGCCAGGUGCCUCGCAAGGGGCUCCAUUUCAAG